AGAGUCAUUAGUUAUCACUUAGGAAGAUGAAAUUGAGGCAGCUGCCAGGGAGCUGAGGGCAAUUAAAGUAGUUGCUAUUAGCCUUUAGAGCCUAAAACAAAUCUCCCCAAGUGUCUGUUUUCCAUCAUCCCUGAGCAGGCCUUCUAAUUUGAGGCUAUCUUGCUCCUCCAGGGCAGAACUGGAUGGAGCAGGACAUGGGACACAAGAGGCUUGGGGGGACUUUAGGGUGUGGACAGGGUACCUGGCUCACUAAUCGAUCAAUUUUCUGUGCCUCCAGGCCUUUCUCUUUCCUUCCCCUCAUUCAUGCAGAUAAUCGUAUGUCAAAUAUCUUCGAUUGUGUUCUGCAGUGUCUGUUCCCUUAAACGGUGAGGUAACGUGUCUGGUGCCAAAGCUGAUAUUCUGAGCCUGAGUUUAGUGGAUAACCUGCCAAGGCCCAGCUGUGUGUGGAUGCCAGGCUUCUUUAUGGCUAGAAUCCAAUAUAGUCAUAAAUAAGCCCGGAGAAGCAACUGUCAGGAGAACUAAACAGGAAUGCCUAUUGUUUCUGAGGCUCUGGAGACUGAGAGGAAUUCAUAUUGCGUCUUUCACUUUGGAUUUUAACUCUGACAUAACUUGGCCCAAGCUAACUGUACUCCAUGGACAAAAAGAGCCCUGCGAAGUGAUGUGACCUUCGCCACAGGGACGGACACCUUCACAACGGGAAAAAUGGGUUUGGCACAGAUGAUUUUGAAUCACAUCCUGGAUGUCAUAUUACUUCACUCAUUGAAGUUGUUGCCAUCCAGAUGCCAGGACCAGGAGAACAUCCCAGGCUACAGGAGACGGUGACUGGGAGACUGCGAAUGCCUCGAGGGCAAGGAUGGCCUCUUUCUCAUCUUUGUCCCUCCACCUGCCUGGGCACAGCCAGCCUGAGCUGUUGACGGAAGGGAACGUGUGAGGAGCGGAUGUGACACUGUCCACCAGAGGGCGUUGGCUGCUGCAUUGCUUCCUUCUCAUUUCUGGAAUCUCUUCCCUGGAUGGCCAGGAUGUGACAGAUUGGCCAGAUCUGAAAUGCCCCUGAGGCUCUAAGAGUUCCUGCUUCUCAUCUUCUUGGUGUUGUGCCCUUUCCUCUGAAGAACCUGGGCUGCUUGGCUGGUGUUGACUUCCCUCUGCUGUGAGCCGGAGUUCCCCAGGGAACCCAAGGGCCAGGGUGGAGCCCACUGGCUUCCUCUGGGCUCUGGCUGGGAGACCGCCUGCCCUGAAGGACUGAGUAGUCCUUAUUCUCCCUGACCCCUGAGCUCCUAUCAUUCAGCCUGAGACUGAUAGGACUCCUGGGAUCUGCUGGGGCAUCUCAGGUGGGCAGGGGAAGAGGCCUCUCUGUAACUGGACUUCAUCUACUGUUUCUGGAAGGGACUUGGUGCUUGUGUCUUUCAAGUUAUCUGUCUCCAGGCAUCCUGCAGGUCAGUGCCUGGUCUUCAGAAAGUCCUGUUGUAAGAGGAAGACAGCAAACUUGGGGCCUGCCCCCUUAAAUCACUUCCUUGGGGGGAUGAGUUAGAUAUGAACACUUCAGAAGCACACCUGGACAAAUGCAGUAAACUGGAGGUGAACAAAGGCAUGGAUCCUGUCUUAGGAGGGCACAGUGGAGUAGGUGAGGAGAUGAGGCAGUCAGACCCCAGAGCCCAGGGGUGGGAGAAAGCGUGCAGGAUGUGAGCUCUCUGCCUGGGAGCUGGAUAUGCCCAUUUGGUGCUGGAUGAGGGAAAAGAUGUGUCAUGCGUUCAUUUUAUUUCUCUCAUCCACAACUUGCUGUCUUUGUACAUAUUCCAUCUUGGAUGAGUAACAGGGUGAGAGGUCAGUGCCAAAAGGGACUCAGUCAAGUACAGAGGCAGGAAAUCUGUUCGGUCUUCUCCCAGCGGACAGAUCUGGGACAAGCAUAUCAGAAAGCAAAGUGGUGAGGUCCAAUUGGACAGAUUUGAUUUUGGGGUUUUGUAGGUUCAUCUGACUUCAUUCUGGAGCCUGUUAGAAUUUUAUGGCAUGGAAAACUGGAACUAUUUCCCAAGGACACUGGCACAAACAGGGACACCCAGUCCCAGUUGUGGUCUCCACAGGGGGAUUUAAAUGAACUCUCUUGACUGACAUGAGUUCCAACAGUUCUGGUGGGACUGUUUCACUCACUGAAGCUCUAGUUUUGUUUCUCCUGGAUUGGACUUAAAAAAUAAAACCUCAAAAAACUGUGGAACACACUAUUAAAAAACAUGCACUCUGAGUCAAGCGUAAACACAAAGCUGUCUUUUUAUAAAGUCUGAGCUUUGUAAGGUUGCCAGAGUGUUUCUCCUUCAGUUUUAAAAAUUGAAGUUGGAAACCACUGAAGAGUGAAAAACAUGCCAUGGAGGAAUUUCUCAGACACUAAAUUCCCAGGUUUACAUCACAGAGAAGUCAAUGUCUGUGUACAUGAGCCCCAAGGGCAAGGCUGGUUGGACAGAGCCAUGCCACGUUGGCGCCUCGGGGGACACUGUGGAAGAUCAUUUGCUCCAGUGGAACUCCUGAAUAAUAACUGAGAUGUCAUGCUGAAGUUUUGUCAAAAUUUCUCAAUUUCCGGGUCACCUACGUCAUGUGUCUGUGUCCCAAAGUGCAGACCGACACACACACAUAGGAGCCACCCUCCAUUCUAAAUUCAUCUGGGUUGAACCCGAGUGGGCAGUAUGAAGACCAAGGCUUCAGGGUUGCUUUGGGAGCAGUGCUCUGUCACUUGUCUCAUUUUCAAAGCCUUCAGGUUUGGGCUUUAAUCUCCCAGCCCCAGUCCCUGUACCUUCUGGACACUCCUCUUCUGUACCUUCCACCAUGACCCCUUUCUCAACUAUUUUGUUUUCAGCUUUUAGAAAUGACUAGUGAACAAAGAACUCACCAUUCUUGGGCUAACCUCUGGGCACUCCUCAGACCCGAUGGUCCAUUUUCUACUGUAUUCUGUCAUUGGUGUGGGUGAGGGGAGAUGUUGGCAUCAAGAUUCCCAUUGUCUCAUCCUGAGGGCAAUCUCCCAGGCUGAUUUUGCAGGCUGACCCCAGAGUUUGGGGAGCCAGAACAGUGCUGCUUAAUAGCAACUUGGCAGAAUUGUUUUGUCGAAUCUAGAGCAAUACCAGGAGCUUGUAAUUUAAAAAACAUUUUUAUUAUAUGUUACAAAAGAAUUGGACCAUGUAAAUUAGAAAUAAGCAGUUGUCAGUGCAACUGGAAUUCACAGAUGGUUUGAGACACACCAAGUGAGCUAGACUGUCCUAGAGCUUCUGUUGAGGAUCCAGAGGCUGAAAUGCUCCAAGCGGGGUAGUUUUCAAGCAUUAUGAGGUAUAGAUAGAAAAACAGAAAAUGGAAGUCCUUGCAGAAGCCUGUGGAGUGAUACCUGUGAGAUGGUGCUUGAGUUGAUGUGUCAGCUUGGCCCAAUGGGACAGGGAAAAUGGACAAUGUAUGGGUUUCCAUACUGUGCUUCUGGGUGGGUCAAGUCUACCCUGACCACUCCAUAUUUUUCUAGAGGAGAAUUAAGUUCUGGUUAUGGAUGAGAUUUUUGCUGCCCCCCAGCCCUCUCACAACUUCUGGGGACAAUAGGUCUUGGGCUGAUAGGGAGUCAGGGCCGUGGAUAGAUGCAGUGACUGUUCAAGGGACCAAGCCACGGUGCUUCCACAGGAGUUGGGAUUCUCCCUGUACUGUGCCCUUGGCCUCCUUAUCAUCAGCAUGGAGGAUAUGAGAUCAUAGUGCCCACCUGUGCCCUCCGGACUCCUGGCUCCAAUCCACCGCAGCCUCUUGCCAGCCAGUAUGCUGUGGAGGUGUUAACCAUAUCCUUUCAAUAAUGGAAUUAUUGAAUGGGGCGGGACCAUUAGGGGGAGUCCUGAAAGUUCACUCCUAGUAACCUUUUCUGCAGGAGUGAAUAUUCUGCUACGAGGGGCGCUGGCAAAGAGCUACAGCUUUGCCGAUAAACAUCACUGACCAACCUGUUUCCAGGCACAUGCUGAGCCCUUCAUGAUCCCUCUCCUUUAAUGUCACAGCUCUCACAUUUACCCUCAUUUCACACAUUCCAAAAGUGAAGUUCAGCCUUUCUUUGGUGCACUAUCUUCUAUCCGUACUCAGCCAUACACUGAGCUACAACUCAUCCGGGUUAUGAGAACUUAACUUUAGGAGGAAUUUCACUGAACAUCUCAGCUUAUGAGGUAUUUCUUCAUGUUUCCAGAAACCCUUUUGGCUUUUGCAUGUCUCUUGAGCAACUUGAGCGAGCCUGGUGAAAAGAGAGUCACAGUGCAGUCAUUGUCACAAUGUCAAGUUGUGGUUGCCUCAGACAAAUCUUGGUCUGCUAGGUUUGGUGGCAAAAACCUUUGUAUCGUAGGUUUUCUUUGGUCUUUGCCUUUUUUUUUGAAUUACAGGUUUAAUUACAUAAGCCUUGAGUAUCACAGGCCAAAGAACAAACCAAACCCAAGGCUCAGAGAGAUUAAAUAAUUUGCCCAACAUCACACAGCCAGAGAAUGCAGAAACCAGAAUUCAAAGCCGGGUUAGUCUCGCCAGCCACAUGCUUAAUUGGAAUUAUUUAGAAUUCAUAUAUUAUAUGUCAUACUAUAAUUAGAGGCAUUAGAAUGAAAUUCAAGCCAUGUAAUUAAAACCCCAAGGUUCUAUGGUUUCUUUAUGCAAUCGUUAAGGGGUGAAAUAUGAUUUUAAAGGCAUCGAGGGUGGAGAGCAAGCUCUAAACAACACUAUCUGCCAGGUUAGAGUCCAUGUUUAGAAACAUGCCCUAGAGUCAGGUGAUGCAUGUAUUGCUUACUUUGGGCACAAAUCAAGCCUCAUACAUUUUUACACCUCUUUUCCUACCUUUUUGUUUUAAAAAAGCAGCUCAUAGUUGAAGACAU
Molecule: non-coding RNA, 4850 nt
Organism: Manis javanica (Malayan pangolin)
Lineage: Eukaryota; Metazoa; Chordata; Mammalia; Pholidota; Manidae
Source: RefSeq, a predicted model, not a curated record